GAGCUUGCUCCCUGAUGUUAGCGGCGGACGGGUGAGUAACACGUGGGUAACCUGCCUGUAAGACUGGGAUAACUCCGGGAAACCGGGGCUAAUACCGGAUGCUUGUUUGAACCGCAUGGUUCAAACAUAAAAGGUGGCUUCGGCUACCACUUACAGAUGGACCCGCGGCGCAUUAGCUAGUUGGUGAGGUAAUGGCUCACCAAGGCAACGAUGCGUAGCCGACCUGAGAGGGUGAUCGGCCACACUGGGACUGAGACACGGCCCAGACUCCUACGGGAGGCAGCAGUAGGGAAUCUUCCGCAAUGGACGAAAGUCUGACGGAGCAACGCCGCGUGAGUGAUGAAGGUUUUCGGAUCGUAAAGCUCUGUUGUUAGGGAAGAACAAGUACCGUUCGAAUAGGGCGGUACCUUGACGGUACCUAACCAGAAAGCCACGGCUAACUACGUGCCAGCAGCCGCGGUAAUACGUAGGUGGCAAGCGUUGUCCGGAAUUAUUGGGCGUAAAGGGCUCGCAGGCGGUUUCUUAAGUCUGAUGUGAAAGCCCCCGGCUCAACCGGGGAGGGUCAUUGGAAACUGGGGAACUUGAGUGCAGAAGAGGAGAGUGGAAUUCCACGUGUAGCGGUGAAAUGCGUAGAGAUGUGGAGGAACACCAGUGGCGAAGGCGACUCUCUGGUCUGUAACUGACGCUGAGGAGCGAAAGCGUGGGGAGCGAACAGGAUUAGAUACCCUGGUAGUCCACGCCGUAAACGAUGAGUGCUAAGUGUUAGGGGGUUUCCGCC
This 778-nucleotide ribosomal RNA is filed under the name Bacillus spizizenii. Its description in RNAcentral is "bacterial SSU rRNA". It matches the Rfam family "Bacterial small subunit ribosomal RNA", at positions 76 to 838 of the family's 1533-position model. The record is from RNAcentral. Lineage: Bacteria; Bacillati; Bacillota; Bacilli; Caryophanales; Bacillaceae.